RNAcentral lists this ribosomal RNA (468 nucleotides) under uncultured bacterium. RNAcentral describes it as "partial 16S ribosomal RNA". It matches the Rfam family "Bacterial small subunit ribosomal RNA", at positions 28 to 507 of the family's 1533-position model. The record is from RNAcentral.
GACGAACGCUGGCGGCGUGCUUAACACAUGCAAGUCGAACGGAAAGGCCCUGCUUUUGUUGGGUGCUCGAGUGGCGAACGGGUGAGUAACACGUGAGUAACCUGCCCUUGACUUUGGGAUAACUUCAGGAAACUGGGGCUAAUAUCGGAUAGGAGCUCCUGCUGCAUGUGGGGGGUUGGAAAGUUUCGGCGGUGGGGGAUGGACUCGCGGCUUAUCAGCUUGUUGGUGGGGUAGUGGCUUACCAAGGCUUUGACGGGUAGCCGGCCUGAGAGGGUGACCGGCCACAAUGGGACUGAGAUACGGCGCAGACUCCUACGGGAGGCAGCAGUGGAGAAUAUUGCACAAUGAGCGGAAGCCUGAUGCAGCAACGCCGCGUGCGGGAUGCCGGCCUUCGGGUUGUAAACCGCUUUCGCCUGUGACGAAGCGUGAGUGACGGUAAUGGGUAAAGAAGCACCGGCUAACUACGUG